Molecule: unclassified non-coding RNA, 724 nt
Filed under: Hevea brasiliensis (rubber tree)
Lineage: Eukaryota; Viridiplantae; Streptophyta; Magnoliopsida; Malpighiales; Euphorbiaceae
Source: RNAcentral
GGGGAUCCUCUCAAUUUACAGACAUUUUCUUUCUGAACUCACUUCCUGAAAAAAGAGGGGGAGUCAAAAGCAUGAGCCCAUCAGGACUCCACAAAUUCCGACCAAUUACAAAUGCAACUAUGAGGAGAGGGCGUUGCUGAAGAGUAACUAACAUGAGUGCCAAGCAACGGCUUCUUCAUUAAAGCCACCACAACAAAGCCCUAAAAGGCAGGGUGAAGGUGGCUGUAUCAGCAGCCGAGUAAGAACCUAAAUACAUCAGUCACUGAAAUAAUGCCUUCCACACGCUUGCUGCCAGCCUCCACAAUGACAAGUCUCCUUGCUCCAGGAACAGCAAGUCGCUCCAUUACUUUAUGCAAAGGAUCGGACCUUAGACACAUUUGACACCUCUGUCCAUUGAAUAAUCCAUGAGGAGAACUUGCAUCUUGUCCCAAUUGUAUUGCCUGAUGAAUACUCAAUUCAUCAAGCCGAAUCUGUGCGUACGCUCUGUCCUUUGCCAAAGCAGUAAUGUCACUUCUACAGUAGAUAUCCAGCAAGGAGUCAUUAUCAUCCACAAUUGGUAUCGCACUAACUUCAGCUUGAACUAAUAAGGAUAGAGCAGCACCAAGAGAAGCAUUUGGUCUUAGCAUUGCGACUGGUUUUCCACUUGAUUCACCAAUUUUCGGGACCCAGGUACCAAUAGGAAUUGAGCAAAUUGGUUGCUGAAGAAUUGGCAAGGAACUAGAAG